UCCCUCCCAACCCAAACCAUUAUGUGAUGAUAACUGACCCUCUUCUUACCAGGACAGCCAUGCUUGUACUCUUGCCAAGUGAGGCAAGUUGAGUUUGAAAAAAUGUUCUGUAAAACUGGGGCAGAACACAAGUGUGCAAUUACUGUGUUUGUUUCAGAUACUACUCAUCCUGGGCAUUAAGAACCUGGAAGUUGACAGGCUUGAAAAUACUGCUUGGUCCACUCAGCAUUGCAGAAAUGAGCAAGAUACAGAAUGAAUAAGAAUGUAGAAAGUCUACCAAAUUUACUGGUAAUAUUACAGGGCUGAAUUGGCAAGUCCUCUAACAGUGAGUAAUGUGCUAUGAAAGUAUAAGGAAAACUUUUUAAUAACUAAAAACAGGUGCAGCAAUUGUGACAUAAAAGAUCUUAUCUGGUAGCCCAUGUAGUGAAUGAACAUCAAGGUAGGUAUUAUUCUUGUUUUUUAGAAGAACUUCUGAUAACGAAAAAUGCUACAUGUAUAAGGCUUUUCUUUAUAAUGUUUCUCAUAUUAGCAGUACUCUGAUGAGUACAAGCAGGUAAGCUAUUUCCAGUUUCCUAAUCAGACAAUAAACCCCAAAAUGUCACAUUCUAGCAAAAGGGCUCCCAUGCCCAGCAGCAGCUGGCAGUGUGUGCUGAGUGUGCCACUACUUGCUGUAGAUGUAGUUCUGAUAGUUGAAAUAGCAAGAAGCUCCCUUUGCAUGGUUUCCAGCUGGCCUGGUCCAUAUCAUAGCCAGAACAGAGUAGAACUUGCUUCACUCUCCCCUUGCUAGAUUGAGGAUGAGGGUAUUGCUCACUUCAAAAUCAAAACCAGGCUUUGGUGCUGGCUUGGAUUUAGAAAAUUUGCUGGGAAUUCCAGGAGAUGUUGAACUUUCUGCAGCUGGACAAAGCAGAAAUACCCUAGUGGUUCUUUGCCUGUGCUAUUCUAAUAAAGGGGCUUUUAUGUUUAAAACUUCCUAUCUAGAGUCAUAAUAUUCUGUGUUGCAGUUCAAAAGAUUGGUUACAAGCCUGAAUUGGAGCUUAUUUAUAAGGAUUUUUUUCAGCAGGUUCACUCUGUAAAAUGUAGUGCUACCUUUUAUAUAUUUCUGUGAAAACAUAUAGAAACCUCAUUUGAAAUUCACAAAGUAUUCAACAUGGCAAAAGCUAUUUCAUAUCUCAUAGAAAUCCAAACCUGGCCACAGCAGUGUUAGAAAUCAUCCCAACCGUGCCAGUAGUUGAUUUAGAUUGGCAUUGGAUUCAGUGAAGGAAACACCCACUGACUGCCAAUGAAACUGAGUGAGAUUUUUCUUUAUAUUUUCUUGUAUUCUGUAAUUUUCCAGGAGCGUAGGGGCAGGUUGUUUAAAUCCUAAGACAUUGUGGACAAGAUGGGCUGAUGUGUAAUGAGGCACCUGGAAAACCUUUGGUUGCUGUGGUGGGUCAGCCACCCAAGGCCAUUCUAUUUUAGCAGGAAUCAUUUCGCUGACACAGCUGAGCUCCUUUGCACGUUUAGCAGAUGCACCUGCCCCCCUGCUUUGCCUAAAGACGAGCACCUACGCUUACGUAUUGAUACAAGGGAGUUAUUUAUAAAGGUAAGGGGGACACCUCCCUAGGCAGCAGAGAAUGGCACACGCUGCUCAAAGCCAGCUUCACCAUCCUUAUUUGAAACUGUCAGGCACAGCAGCUUUUUUUGCUGGCAGACGAUCGCGGUGCAGCUGAGCUCCGGCCUGGCACAGCUGCAGGUACUUUGUGGAAGUUUAAUUCCUCCCCUCAGGUGUGAGGUGUUCUCGGCUGAGGCGAGCGCGGGCUCAGCAGCGCGGCCGGGAUUAGGCUCCCGCAGGAAAUCAUAUGAGGUGAAAUCAGCUGAAAUCUUAAAGCUUCCACCUGUUGCACCUGCUGCUGAAUAUGCAAACUGCCCUAAAGGUCUCAGCAGUCUACUGAAAAUGCUUUGCUGAAAGCACCAGGCACCAGGGGAUUUCUGGGCCAGGAUAAUAGACAGACUGAGGACAUUGUCACCUUGGUGUGAGGAAAGCUGUCUAAGCAGAAUUGAGUGACUCUAGGAGCACUUGUUGAGCUUGAUGUUCAUGCUGAGGAUGUUCUUUCAUCUCUAGUAAGCAAAAAAGGCAAAGAUGAGAGUGACUUUGAAUGGUUAAGUCAGCUUAGGUCCUACUGGGAGCAAAAAAAUCUGCAGCGGGCAGAACAAUUUAAUGGUGGCCUUGAGGGUGAGAAAAGUUGCUGGCAUGAGACUGCUUUGGAGCUGGGAAUGCAGGACAUCAACUCAACUGGAAGACACUCAUUCCAUCAGGCAUUGCAGCUUACCUAGCAGCCUUUACAUCCAGCUAGA
This is a long non-coding RNA of Cyanistes caeruleus (blue tit), 2334 nucleotides long. RefSeq lists it as uncharacterized. The record is from RefSeq and is a predicted model, not a curated record. NCBI's taxonomy places the organism in Eukaryota, Metazoa, Chordata, Aves, Passeriformes, Paridae.